Bos taurus (domestic cattle) is the source of this 2813-nucleotide long non-coding RNA. The record is from Ensembl. NCBI's taxonomy places the organism in Eukaryota, Metazoa, Chordata, Mammalia, Artiodactyla, Bovidae.
CCCGGGGCUCCCGCCCGGGGCACGGAGAGGGGUCAAGGCCGCGACCGAGAGGCUCCGGAGGCCCGAGGAGCCGCCAGGCGAGGUGGCCGGGCCGGCUGCCCGGAGCGAGGCCGCGGAAAAUGUCCGACUGGCUCCUUUCGCCCGGCUCCGGGCUGGGACGACUGUUCCCGAAAGAGUUCAGGACCCCCUCGCCCUCCUCCUCCCGCCCCGGGUUAGGGACUCUUGCCAGAAAGUGCGCGGAACCGGCGAACCGGGGCCACCGGGUGGACCCUGCGGGAAAAGUGCAGUCUCCUUUCCCGUGCACGUGCCUGGCCACCUGGUUCGCGCAGUCCCUCCCCGUACCCCUGGCCUUAGCGGGGAGCCCUUGCCUAGCGUGGCUUCCCACUUCUGUCCAUCCUUUUUUUUUUUUUUUUUUCCCGAAACUCUUUUCAUCCCGCACGACGCCAAGCGCGCACUCUAUGACCACGUUCGCCCCUAAACUGCAGACACGGAACCCAGGAAUCAACCCCUUUCCCCCCACCCCACCCUCCACCAAAGCAGGACAAAACUGGGCGCCAGGGAUCUGGAAUGUUCCAGUCGGAAGGGUUUAUAUCCAAGUAGCCUCGCGAAGAGUCGGACACGACUGAGCGACUUCACUUUCACUUUUCACUUUCAUGCAUUGGAGAAGGAAAUGGCAACCCACUCCAGUGUUCUUGCCUGGAGAAUCCCAGGGAUGGGGGAGCCUGGUGGGCUGCCAUCUAUGGGGCCGCACAGAGUCGGACACGACUGAAGCGACUUAGCAGCAGUAGCAGCAGCAGCCAGACGCUGUGCAUUACUGACUCCCCACCCACCAGAGACACGCACAAAUUAACAGACGCCUUUAACUCAAGAGCCGCACUUUGCCAUUGCCUUUGCCUCCCGGACUAUAAAGAAAGCUGAGAGCCGGAGAAUUGAUGCUUUUGAACUGUGGUGUUGGAGAAGACUCUUGAGAGUCCCUUGGACUGCAAGGAGAUCCAACAAGUCCAUCCUAAAAGAGAUCAGUCCUGGGUGUUCAUUGGAAGGACUGAUGGCUUGAAGCUGAAAUUCCAAUCCUUUGGCCACCUGAUGCGAAGAACUGACUCGGAAAAGACCCUGAUGCUGGGAAAUAUUGAAGGCAGGAGGAGAAGGGGAUGACAGAGGAUGAGAUGGUUGGAUGGCAUCACCGACUCGAUGGACAUGAGUUUGGGUAAACUCCGGGAGUUGGUGAUGGACAGGGAGGUCUGGCGUGCUGCAGUCCAUGGUGUCGCAAAGAGUCGGACAUAACUGAGCGACUGAACUGAAGACACUUUUUUGUCUCCUCUGCCCUGAGUUAAUAACUGAAGCAAGGAGUUGGGAUUCCGCCCCCCCCCCCACCCCGCCUUAAAUAAGUCAAUCUAGGAGGACGUUUGGGACAACAGCACCAAUGUUACCUCUGGGCAGCCUUCUCUGACACCCUUGAGGUCCUACUAGACCCUGCCACGGCUUCAGCUGCGCUCAUAGGGAGCCAGUGUGCCCGAGGAAGCCACCACCAAGUCUGGAUGCCAGAGGGUUCCAGCCUCAGGGCGUUGCUGGUUGUACACAGUCCAGCCACUGAUCGCUGAAGCCUGGCAUGUACUUAGUGAGCCAGCUGCCAGCCCCACUUCAAAAGUGAGGAGAAGACUCCUUUGUCCCAGCCUCCGGGAACCGCUUGCCUGGGGUCCACUUUUGCGCUCUAGAAGCAUCAUCGUAAAACUGAUCCUUAGUGUCCCAGUUUUUUUUUUUUUUUUGGAAAGACUGCUUCCUAUUUAAUUGUAAAAUCUCCUUUCCUUCUCUUGUUUCCUGUAGUGUCCAAAAGGGUAAGCUUUUGAAAGUUCAAGAGGCUCAAAGAGACCUGUAUAAAGUUGUUCUUUCUCUUCUCACUAGAAGAAACAUCCUCUCUGAAAUGGAACCUUAUGCCAUGUACAUCCUUUCUGAAUAUGGUAAUCCCCCUGUAUGUAGUAGUUAUCGUAAUUUUAUAUAAAGAAUACAUACAAUCUUGUGAAAAAUGUCCAGGCAGCUAGUGGGGAUAAAGAGUCCUGUUUUCCCCUGGGAAAAAUUCUGGUAGGGAAAAAAAAAAAAAGAAGAAGCUGAGCGAGUUCAUUUGUCUGCAGCAGAAUUGGUCUCAGGCUGUGUUAAAAGUUGGUGCAGAUGGACAUUUGUCCAUAAACCUCCCGCUUCCUCAGUUGACCUUCACAGCAGUAUUGGCCACCGAACCCUGCAGGUUCCCCGAGGCAGCCCCCCUCACAGCAAAGAGUCAGGGUCUUCAGAUGCUGGUGCCUACAACUGCUGGUCUUGGAAAAGACAGUGUCUUAGAAUUUUGGGCACAAGUAACAGAGUAAAUGAAGAUCCAUGGAGAAUCUUGCUCAUACUCCUUAUUUUUAGACUUUUCCGGGAGUCAUUUCAUUGUAAAGUUGGGUCCAGUGGUCAAAACUCAACCUGGGCAGUUGCAGGAAUGUGCUGGCCUGUAGGUUUCCCUGAAAAGAAAUAAAAAUGCACCCUUCCUCAUUACACAGCGCUUCCAAUAAAAUCUAAGAGUUCCCAACUUUUAUUGAGAACAGAAAGGUACAUCCAAAUGGUAUAACAAGCUUCAAAUUGGUUGUAUCAAGCAGUCAACUUUGCUUAUGCACAUUCAGAAUGACAAGAGAAAAAAUAUUAAUUUCAAUUUGAAAGUCGUCAAAAAGCACCUUGUGGGCCACUUAAUGAAUAGCCUCAUGUUAAAUUAGUAAUAUAUGUUUGUUCUUUCACAAAUAAAUUUUCCUCUGAAAUACAGACAUCAGUCAUGGAGUCAAUUAUCUUGC